GGGGGACCAUCCUCCAAGGCUAAAUACUCCUGACUGACCGAUAGUGAACCAGUACCGUGAGGGAAAGGCGAAAAGAACCCCGGCGAGGGGAGUGAAAAAGAACCUGAAACCGUGUACGUACAAGCAGUGGGAGCACGCUUAGGCGUGUGACUGCGUACCUUUUGUAUAAUGGGUCAGCGACUUAUAUUCUGUAGCAAGGUUAACCGAAUAGGGGAGCCGAAGGGAAACCGAGUCUUAACUGGGCGUUAAGUUGCAGGGUAUAGACCCGAAACCCGGUGAUCUAGCCAUGGGCAGGUUGAAGGUUGGGUAACACUAACUGGAGGACCGAACCGACUAAUGUUGAAAAAUUAGCGGAUGACUUGUGGCUGGGGGUGAAAGGCCAAUCAAACCGGGAGAUAGCUGGUUCUCCCCGAAAGCUAUUUAGGUAGCGCCUCGUGAAUUCAUCUCCGGGGGUAGAGCACUGUUUCGGCAAGGGGGUCAUCCCGACUUACCAACCCGAUGCAAACUGCGAAUACCGGAGAAUGUUAUCACGGGAGACACACGGCGGGUGCUAACGUCCGUCGUGAAGAGGGAAACAACCCAGACCGCCAGCUAAGGUCCCAAAGUCAUGGUUAAGUGGGAAACGAUGUGGGAAGGCCCAGACAGCCAGGAUGUUGGCUUAGAAGCAGCCAUCAUUUAAAGAAAGCGUAAUAGCUCACUGGUCGAGUCGGCCUGCGCGGAAGAUGUAACGGGGCUAAACCAUGCACCGAAGCUGCGGCAGCGACGCUUAUGCGUUGUUGGGUAGGGGAGCGUUCUGUAAGCCUGCGAAGGUGUGCUGUGAGGCAUGCUGGAGGUAUCAGAAGUGCGAAUGCUGACAUAAGUAACGAUAAAGCGGGUGAAAAGCCCGCUCGCCGGAAGACCAAGGGUUCCUGUCCAACGUUAAUCGGGGCAGGGUGAGUCGACCCCUAAGGCGAGGCCGAAAGGCGUAGUCGAUGGGAAACAGGUUAAUAUUCCUGUACUUGGUGUUACUGCGAAGGGGGGACGGAGAAGGCUAUGUUGGCCGGGCGACGGUUGUCCCGGUUUAAGCGUGUAGGCUGGUUUUCCAGGCAAAUCCGGAAAAUCAAGGCUGAGGCGUGAUGACGAGGCACUACGGUGCUGAAGCAACAAAUGCCCUGCUUCCAGGAAAAGCCUCUAAGCAUCAGGUAACAUCAAAUCGUACCCCAAACCGACACAGGUGGUCAGGUAGAGAAUACCAAGGCGCUUGAGAGAACUCGGGUGAAGGAACUAGGCAAAAUGGUGCCGUAACUUCGGGAGAAGGCACGCUGAUAUGUAGGUGAAGUCCCUCGCGGAUGGAGCUGAAAUCAGUCGAAGAUACCAGCUGGCUGCAACUGUUUAUUAAAAACACAGCACUGUGCAAACACGAAAGUGGACGUAUACGGUGUGACGCCUGCCCGGUGCCGGAAGGUUAAUUGAUGGGGUUAGCGCAAGCGAAGCUCUUGAUCGAAGCCCCGGUAAACGGCGGCCGUAACUAUAACGGUCCUAAGGUAGCGAAAUUCCUUGUCGGGUAAGUUCCGACCUG
Molecule: ribosomal RNA, 1558 nt
Filed under: Escherichia coli
Lineage: Bacteria; Pseudomonadati; Pseudomonadota; Gammaproteobacteria; Enterobacterales; Enterobacteriaceae
Description: partial 23S ribosomal RNA
Rfam family: Bacterial large subunit ribosomal RNA
Source: RNAcentral